RNAcentral lists this ribosomal RNA (514 nucleotides) under Aspergillus sp. 57-45. Its description in RNAcentral is "eukaryotic LSU rRNA". The stretch from base 168 to 321 matches the Rfam family "5.8S ribosomal RNA". The record is from RNAcentral. Lineage: Eukaryota; Fungi; Ascomycota; Eurotiomycetes; Eurotiales; Aspergillaceae.
CUAGCGAGCCCAACCUCCCACCCGUGUUUACUGUACCUUAGUUGCUUCGGCGGGCCCGCCAUUCAUGGCCGCCGGGGGCUCUCAGCCCCGGGCCCGCGCCCGCCGGAGACACCACGAACUCUGUCUGAUCUAGUGAAGUCUGAGUUGAUUGUAUCGCAAUCAGUUAAAACUUUCAACAAUGGAUCUCUUGGUUCCGGCAUCGAUGAAGAACGCAGCGAAAUGCGAUAACUAGUGUGAAUUGCAGAAUUCCGUGAAUCAUCGAGUCUUUGAACGCACAUUGCGCCCCCUGGUAUUCCGGGGGGCAUGCCUGUCCGAGCGUCAUUGCUGCCCAUCAAGCACGGCUUGUGUGUUGGGUCGUCGUCCCCUCUCCGGGGGGGACGGGCCCCAAAGGCAGCGGCGGCACCGCGUCCGAUCCUCGAGCGUAUGGGGCUUUGUCACCCGCUCUGUAGGCCCGGCCGGCGCUUGCCGAACGCAAAUCAAUCUUUUCCAGGUUGACCUCGGAUCAGGUAGGGAU